AUGCUUAUAGGGACGGGAAGAACAUGUGUGUUUGUUCAUCAUGGGGACAAAGACGCAUUCUUGAAAGGCAAUAUUGAACCGGACCCGGAUGAGCUUGACAUGGUGUUUGAUAGUAGUCCUAACUAUGCGGAGCUCUUGCAACAAGUGAGGAAAGAUUUGAAUUGGAUGGACCCUAGUGAUAUCGUUGAGUUGGAGGGAAGGCAUAAUGUAGGUUUUGGAAUGCACAUCCGUUGGAAGACAAUGCGUGUCAACUCGGAGCAACGUUGGGUUGCAUACAAGGAAACGGUGGCCGAAUCACUUGACAAGGCUCUUGAGUUAUUUGCAACGAAGAAGGUUGAUUCAAGUUUGCAUUUGGACUUGAACCGGAACCCCUCUUCCCUUUGGUUGAUAGUAGCCCCCCACCCUUGA
RNAcentral lists this ribosomal RNA (408 nucleotides) under Triticum aestivum (bread wheat). RNAcentral's name for it is "partial small subunit ribosomal RNA". Lineage: Eukaryota; Viridiplantae; Streptophyta; Magnoliopsida; Poales; Poaceae. The record is from RNAcentral.